RNAcentral lists this ribosomal RNA (468 nucleotides) under uncultured bacterium. RNAcentral describes it as "partial 16S ribosomal RNA". It matches the Rfam family "Bacterial small subunit ribosomal RNA", at positions 28 to 507 of the family's 1533-position model. The record is from RNAcentral.
GACGAACGCUGGCGGCGUGCUUAACACAUGCAAGUCGAACGGAAAGGCCCUGCUUUUGUGGGGUGCUUGAGUGGCGAACGGGUGAGUAACACGUGAGUAACCUGCCCUUGUCUUUGGGAUAACUUCAGGAAACUGGGGCUAAUACCGGAUAGGAGCUUCUGCUGCAUGGUGGGGGUUGGAAAGUUUCGGCGGUUGGGGAUGGACUCGCGGCUUAUCAGCUUGUUGGUGGGGUAGUGGCUUACCAAGGCUUUGAAGGGUAGCCGGCCUGAGAGGGUGACCGGCCACAUUGGGACUGAGAUACGGCCCAGACUCCUACGGGAGGCAGCAGUGGGGAAUAUUGCGCAAUGGGCGGAAGCCUGAUGCAGCGACGCCGCGUGCGGGAUGACGGCCUUCGGGUUGUAAACCGCUUUCGCCUGUGACGAAGCGUGAUUGACGGUAAUGGGUAAAGAAGCACCGGCUAACUACGUG